Molecule: transfer RNA, 57 nt
Filed under: uncultured Vannella
Lineage: Eukaryota; Discosea; Flabellinia; Vannellidae
Rfam family: tRNA
About the family: Transfer RNA (tRNA) molecules are approximately 80 nucleotides in length.
Source: RNAcentral
GCUGGCUCAAUGGAAGAGCGUCUGCCUCCUAAGCAGAAGGUUCGGGGUUCGACCCCC